This 447-nucleotide ribosomal RNA is filed under the name uncultured soil bacterium. RNAcentral describes it as "bacterial SSU rRNA". It matches the Rfam family "Bacterial small subunit ribosomal RNA", at positions 26 to 518 of the family's 1533-position model. The record is from RNAcentral.
AGAGCGAACGCUGGCGGCAGGCCUAAUACAUGCAAGUCGAACGGAUCCUUCGGGAUCAGUGGCGGACGGGUGAGUAACGCGUGGGAACGUGCCCUUUGGUACGGAACAACUGAGGGAAACUUCAGCUAAUACCGUAUGUGCCCUUCGGGGGAAAGAUUUAUCGCCAUUGGAGCGGCCCGCGUUGGAUUAGGUAGUUGGUGAGGUAAAGGCUCACCAAGCCUACGAUCCAUAGCUGGUCUGAGAGGAUGACCAGCCACACUGGGACUGAGACACGGCCCAGACUCCUACGGGAGGCAGCAGUAGGGAAUCUUGCGCAAUGGGCGAAAGCCUGACGCAGCCAUGCCGCGUGAAUGAUGAAGGUCUUAGGAUUGUAAAAAUUCUUUCACCGGGGACGAUAAUGACGGUACCCGGAGAAGAAGCCCCGGCUAACUUCGCGCCAGCAGCCGC